RNAcentral lists this ribosomal RNA (462 nucleotides) under uncultured bacterium. Its description in RNAcentral is "bacterial SSU rRNA". It matches the Rfam family "Bacterial small subunit ribosomal RNA", at positions 1036 to 1498 of the family's 1533-position model. The record is from RNAcentral.
AGGUGCUGCAUGGCUGUCGUCAGCUCGUGUCGUGAGAUGUUGGGUUAAGUCCCGCAACGAGCGCAACCCUUGCCUUUAGUUGCCAUCAUUAAGUUGGGCACUCUAGAGGGACUGCCGGUGUCAAACCGGUGGAAGGUGGGGAUGACGUCAAGUCCUCAUGGCCUUUAUGACCAGGGCUACACACGUACUACAAUGGCAUAAACAAUGGGCAGCAACACCGCGAGGUGAAGCGAAUCCUCAAAUUAUGUCUCAGUCCGGAUUGGAGUCUGCAACUCGACUCCAUGAAGUUGGAAUCGCUAGUAAUCGUAGAUCAGCAUGCUACGGUGAAUACGUUCCCGGGCCUUGUACACACCGCCCGUCACACCACGGGAGUUGGUUGUACCAGAAGCAGUUGAGCGAACCUCUCGAGGGCGCAGGCUGCCAAGGUAUGAUUGGUAACUGGGGUGAAGUCGUAACAAGGUA